RNAcentral lists this transfer RNA (75 nucleotides) under Chloroflexota bacterium. RNAcentral describes it as "Chloroflexi bacterium (groundwater metagenome) tRNA-Asn". It matches the Rfam family "tRNA". Rfam says of the family: Transfer RNA (tRNA) molecules are approximately 80 nucleotides in length. Their secondary structure includes four short double-helical elements and three loops (D, anti-codon, and T loops). Further hydrogen bonds mediate the characteristic L-shaped molecular structure. tRNAs have two regions of fundamental functional importance: the anti-codon, which is responsible for specific mRNA codon recognition, and the 3' end, to which the tRNAs corresponding amino acid is attached (by aminoacyl-tRNA synthetases). tRNAs cope with the degeneracy of the genetic code in two manners: having more than one tRNA (with a specific anti-codon) for a particular amino acid; and 'wobble' base-pairing, i.e. permitting non-standard base-pairing at the 3rd anti-codon position. Lineage: Bacteria; Bacillati; Chloroflexota. The record is from RNAcentral.
UCCGCGGUAGCUCAGCGGUAGAGCGGGCGGCUGUUAACCGCUAGGUCACAGGUUCGAAUCCUGUCCGCGGAGCCA